Molecule: ribosomal RNA, 590 nt
Filed under: uncultured bacterium
Lineage: Bacteria
Description: partial 16S ribosomal RNA
Rfam family: Bacterial small subunit ribosomal RNA
Source: RNAcentral
UGGGGAAUAUUGCACAAUGGGCGCAAGCCUGAUGCAGCCAUGCCGCGUGUGUGAAGAAGGCCUUCGGGUUGUAAAGCACUUUCAGCGAGGAGGAAGGUGGUGAGCUUAAUACGCUCAUCAAUUGACGUUACUCGCAGAAGAAGCACCGGCUAACUCCGUGCCAGCAGCCGCGGUAAUACGGAGGGUGCAAGCGUUAAUCGGAAUUACUGGGCGUAAAGCGCACGCAGGCGGUUUGUUAAGUCAGAUGUGAAAUCCCCGGGCUCAACCUGGGAACUGCAUUUGAAACUGGCAAGCUAGAGUCUCGUAGAGGGGGGUAGAAUUCCAGGUGUAGCGGUGAAAUGCGUAGAGAUCUGGAGGAAUACCGGUGGCGAAGGCGGCCCCCCUGGACGAAGACUGACGCUCAGGUGCGAAAGCGUGGGGCAGCAAACAGGAUUAGAUACCCUGGUAGUCCACGCUGUAAACGAUGUCGAUUUUGGAGGUUGUGCCCCUUGAGGCGUGGCUUCCGGAGCUAACGCGUUAAAUCGACCGCCUGGGGAGUACGGCCGCAAGGUUAAAACUCAAAGGAAUUGACGGGGUCAUAGCUGUUUCCU